RNAcentral lists this ribosomal RNA (500 nucleotides) under uncultured bacterium. RNAcentral describes it as "partial 16S ribosomal RNA". It matches the Rfam family "Bacterial small subunit ribosomal RNA", at positions 30 to 523 of the family's 1533-position model. The record is from RNAcentral.
AUUGAACGCUGGCGGAAUGCUUUACACAUGCAAGUCGAACGGCAGCACGGACUUCGGUCUGGUGGCGAGUGGCGAACGGGUGAGUAAUGUAUCGGAACGUGCCCAGUCGUGGGGGAUAACGUAGUGAAAAUUACGCUAAUACCGCAUACGAUCUAUGGAUGAAAGCGGGGGAUCGCAAGACCUCGCGCGAUUGGAGCGGCCGAUAUCAGAUUAGGUAGUUGGUGGGGUAAAGGCCCACCAAGCCAACGAUCUGUAGCUGGUCUGAGAGGACGACCAGCCACAAUGGAACUGAAACACGGUCCAGACUCAUACGGGAGGCAGCAGUGGGGAAUUUUGGACAAUGGGCGCAAGCCUGAUCCAGCCAUUCCGCGUGCAGGAUGAAGGCCCUCGGGUUGUAAACUGCUUUUGUACAGAACGAAAAGGUUUCUACUAAUACUAGGAGCUCAUGACGGUACUGUAAGAAUAAGCACCGGCUAACUACGUGCCAGCCGCCGCGGUAA